RNAcentral lists this ribosomal RNA (460 nucleotides) under uncultured bacterium. Its description in RNAcentral is "partial 16S ribosomal RNA". It matches the Rfam family "Bacterial small subunit ribosomal RNA", at positions 338 to 795 of the family's 1533-position model. The record is from RNAcentral.
CCUACGUGCGUCAGCAGUGAGGACUAUUGGUCCAUGGACGAGAGUCUGAACCAGCCAAGUAGCGUGAAGGAUGACUGCCCUAUGGGUUGUAAACUUCUUUUAUAAAGGAAUAAAACGAGGCACGUGUGCCUUUUUGCAUGUACUUUAUGAAUAAGGAUCGGCGAACUCCGUGCCAGCAGCCGCGGUAAUACGGAGGAUCCGAGCGUUAGCCGGAUUUAUUGGGUUUAACGGGAGCGUAGAUGGGUUGUUAAGUCAGUUGUGAAAGUUUGCGGCUCAACCGUAAAAUGGCAAUUGAUACUGGCAGUCUUGAGUACAGUUGAGGUAGGCGGAAUUCGUGGUGUAGCGGUGAAAUGCUUAGAUAUCACGAAGAACCCCGAUUGCGAAGGCAGCUGACUAAACUGUGACUGACAUUGAUGCUCGAAAGUGUGGGUAUCAAACAGGAUUAGAUACCCCUGUAGUC